AUGACUGUUCCUGGUAUUGAUUGCAUUUGUUACUUGUACAAUGCAACUAUAAACAGUUACAUCAGACAUAGACAGUCUAUAUAGUUAACAGAUUUUCUGUGCAAUGGCUCCAUACAGG
Molecule: non-coding RNA, 118 nt
Organism: Jaculus jaculus (lesser Egyptian jerboa)
Lineage: Eukaryota; Metazoa; Chordata; Mammalia; Rodentia; Dipodidae
Source: RefSeq, a predicted model, not a curated record